AACGAACGCUGGCGGCAUGCCUAACACAUGCAAGUCGAACGAGACCUUCGGGUCUAGUGGCGCACGGGUGUGUAACGCGUGGGAACCUGCCCUUAGGUUCGGAAUAACUCCCCGAAAGGGGUGCUAAUACCGGAUAAUGUCUUCGGACCAAAGAUUUAUCGCCUUUGGAUGGGCCCGCGUUGGAUUAGCUAGUUGGUAGGGUAAAAGCCUACCAAGGCGACGAUCCAUAGCUGGUCUGAGAGGAUGAUCAGCCACACUGGGACUGAGACACGGCCCAGACUCCUACGGGAGGCAGCAGUGGGGAAUAUUGGACAAUGGGCGAAAGCCUGAGCCAGCAAUGCCGCGUGAGUGAUGAAGGCCUUAGGGUUGUAAAGCUCUUUUACCCGGGAUGAUAAUGACAGUACCGGGAGAAUAAGCGCCGGCUAACUCCGUG
RNAcentral lists this ribosomal RNA (433 nucleotides) under uncultured bacterium. RNAcentral describes it as "partial 16S ribosomal RNA". It matches the Rfam family "Bacterial small subunit ribosomal RNA", at positions 29 to 507 of the family's 1533-position model. The record is from RNAcentral.